This 69-nucleotide transfer RNA is filed under the name Bos taurus (domestic cattle). It matches the Rfam family "tRNA". From Rfam's summary of the family: Transfer RNA (tRNA) molecules are approximately 80 nucleotides in length. Their secondary structure includes four short double-helical elements and three loops (D, anti-codon, and T loops). Further hydrogen bonds mediate the characteristic L-shaped molecular structure. tRNAs have two regions of fundamental functional importance: the anti-codon, which is responsible for specific mRNA codon recognition, and the 3' end, to which the tRNAs corresponding amino acid is attached (by aminoacyl-tRNA synthetases). tRNAs cope with the degeneracy of the genetic code in two manners: having more than one tRNA (with a specific anti-codon) for a particular amino acid; and 'wobble' base-pairing, i.e. permitting non-standard base-pairing at the 3rd anti-codon position. The record is from Rfam by way of RNAcentral. RNAcentral also lists the same sequence under 2 other names. Lineage: Eukaryota; Metazoa; Chordata; Mammalia; Artiodactyla; Bovidae.
CCUGGUGGCUCAGAGGUUAAAGCUUCUGCCUGCAAUGCAGGAAACCUGGGUUCAAUCCCUGGGUCAGGA